RNAcentral lists this small RNA (686 nucleotides) under Pan troglodytes (chimpanzee). RNAcentral's name for it is "retained intron". Lineage: Eukaryota; Metazoa; Chordata; Mammalia; Primates; Hominidae. The record is from RNAcentral.
GGCGGAGGUUGUGGUGAGCUGAGAUUGCGCCAUUGCACUCCAGCCUGGGCAGCAAGAGUGAAACUCCAUCUCAAAAAAAGAAAAACUAGUGGAUUCAUGAAUAGGAUUGUGAUGUGAUGGAAAUGUAUUAAAAAUAUUUGUUUUGUGAGAGGGUUGUGGGUGGGUGGGUGGCUGGUGGUGAUAGUGGGGAGAUAGUAAAAGUAUAUGCAUUUCAGAAAAAUUAGGCAGAACCCUUGGUUCAGAAAGAAGUUUCCCAUUUAACAUAUUAACAUUGUUACAGUGUACAGACAGGCAAACAAUAUAAAUAUGCUGAAGGAGGGAAUGAAAAUUGAAGCAACUCAUGUAAAGAAAAAACAACUUCACCACUACCUUCCUGCAGAAAUUCUUCAAAAGAAGAAAAAGCAAAGUCUCUCUGAUGUCAAUCGAAGCUCGGGCGGACUUCAAUCCAAAAGAUUGUCUCUGGAUAGCAGUUGUCUGGAUAGCUCCAGAGACACUGAUAAUGGAACACCUUUUAAUUCUCCAGCGUCCAAGUCUGAUAGCCCUUCUGUAGGAGAAACAGAAAGGAAUAGUGCUGAGCCUGCUGCUGUAAUUGUGGAGAAGCCACUGAGUGUACCACCAGCCCAAGGACUUUCCAUUCCAGUGAUUGGCGCAAAAGUUGACUCUACAGUAAAAACUGUAUCACCCCC